This 236-nucleotide non-coding RNA is filed under the name Lysinibacillus contaminans. RNAcentral's name for it is "T-box sequence". It matches the Rfam family "T-box leader". Rfam says of the family: Uncharged tRNA acts as the effector for transcription antitermination of genes in the T-box leader family. T-boxes are found upstream of many aminoacyl-tRNA synthetase genes and some amino acid biosynthetic genes usually in Gram-positive bacteria. The record is from RNAcentral. Lineage: Bacteria; Bacillati; Bacillota; Bacilli; Caryophanales; Bacillaceae.
CGAAACGCAAAGAGUAGGAGUAGUAAAAGCUCAUUAUUUGGUGAAGAGAGCUGCGGGUUGGUGCAACGCAGUCCAAUAAUACUUUGAACUUGCCUAGGAGUGGUAAGGUAAAUAGAAAUGACGGACUAUUCUAUUUAUUUUAACGAUUAACCUUCGUUACCAGGUUUUUUAAGUAGAGUUCUUAUAGGACUAAUUAGAGUGGUACCGCGGUUUGCUUAAGGCACGUCGUCUCUUCU